CUGGGCUGAUGGGCGCAGUGAACCAUCUGGUGAACACCGUGAGCUUGGGCCACGACUUCAGCUUCGAGGAGGCCGGCGACACCACGGCCUUCCCUCACCUCAUGGACAUCAACUUUUGGGGCAACGUGUACCCGACGCACGCCGCGCUGCCCUACCUCCGGCGGAGCCACGGCCGCGUCGUCGUCAACGCGUCCGUCGAGAGCUGGCUGCCCAUGCCCAGGAUGAGCCUCUACUCUGCGGCGAAGGCAGCGGUGGUGGACUUCUACGAGACGCUCCGGUACGAGGUGAAGGAGGAGGUGGGCGUGACCGUGGCGACGCACGGCUGGGUCAGCGGCGACGCCGGCGGCAGCAAGUUCACGCUGGACCAGCAGCAGCACCACCAGGAAGGCGCGGCGGCGGAUCAGGUGCAGUGGAAGCAGCAGGGAGAGCGCGAGCCGGCGGCGGCGGCGCUGCCGGGAGGGCACGUGGAGGCGUACGCGCGGGCGCUGGUGGCCGGCGCGUGCCGCGGCGACGCCUACGUGAAGCGCCCCAGCUGGUACGACGUCUUCCUCGUCUUCCGCGUCUUCGCGCCCGACGUCCUCGCCUGGACCUUCCGCCUCCUGCUGUCGACGUCCACGCCCGCGCCCGCCGGCCCCAGCGCGAGCGCGAGCGCGAUCGCCGCGCGUCGCCAGCCUCCCGCCGCGCUGCCGGCCCCGCCGCUCCGCCCGCUGCUCGAGUACCCGCCGGCGGCGGUGUCCCGGGGCCCCGCCCACGCCCACGCCCAGCAGGUGGUGCAGAAGCUGGAAUGAGACUGCGCAUGCUACGUGCGGUCGAGACAGAGCUUUCAUCAUCUCUACGUUACUGCUGUGAUGAUGUCCUUGCAUCUGCAUAUAUGCAUGUCGACGACGACGCCAUUGUGCCCAAGUAUAUAUGAACUGGUUUUGGC
This 925-nucleotide unclassified non-coding RNA is filed under the name Zea mays. RNAcentral describes it as "misc RNA Zm00001eb064070". The record is from RNAcentral. Lineage: Eukaryota; Viridiplantae; Streptophyta; Magnoliopsida; Poales; Poaceae.